ACUAUUUUGGCAGAUUAGUGCAGUAAAUUUAGAAUUUAUUUAUAUAAAGAUUUUUAUAAAUAGUA
Molecule: transfer RNA, 65 nt
Filed under: Anatrichus pygmaeus
Lineage: Eukaryota; Metazoa; Arthropoda; Insecta; Diptera; Chloropidae
Description: tRNA-Leu
Source: RNAcentral